This 491-nucleotide ribosomal RNA is filed under the name uncultured bacterium. RNAcentral describes it as "partial 16S ribosomal RNA". It matches the Rfam family "Bacterial small subunit ribosomal RNA", at positions 29 to 506 of the family's 1533-position model. The record is from RNAcentral.
AGUGAACGCUGGCGGUAGGCCUAACACAUGCCAGUCGAACGGCAGCACAGUAAGAGCUUGCUCUUACGGGUGGCGAGUGGCGGACGGGUGAGGAAUACAUCGGAAUCUACUUUUUCGUGGGGGAUAACGUAGGGAAACUUACGCUAAUACCGCAUACGACCUACGGGUGAAAGCAGGGGAUCUUCGGACCUUGCGCGAUUGAAUGAGCCGAUGUCGGAUUAGCUAGUUGGCGGGGUAAAGGCCCACCAAGGCGACGAUCCGUAGCUGGUCUGAGAGGAUGAUCAGCCACACUGGAACUGAGACACGGUCCAGACUCCUACGGGAGGCAGCAGUGGGGAAUAUUGGACAAUGGGCGCAAGCCUGAUCCAGCCAGACCGCGUGGGUGAAGAAGGCCUUCGGGUUGUAAAGCCCUUUUGUUGGGAAAGAAAAGCAGCAGGUUAAUACCCCGCUGUUCUGACGGUACCCAAAGAAUAAGCACCGGCGAACUGCGU